RNAcentral lists this ribosomal RNA (207 nucleotides) under Nostoc sp. 3335mG. Its description in RNAcentral is "partial 16S ribosomal RNA". It matches the Rfam family "Bacterial small subunit ribosomal RNA", at positions 1156 to 1363 of the family's 1533-position model. Lineage: Bacteria; Bacillati; Cyanobacteriota; Cyanophyceae; Nostocales; Nostocaceae. The record is from RNAcentral.
UGAUAAGCCGGAGGAAGGUGGGGAUGACGUCAAGUCCUCAUGGCCCUUACGCGCUGGGCUACACACGUGCUACAAUGGCAGGUACAGUGGGCAGCAAUCCCGCGAGGGUGAGCUAAUCUCCAAAACCUGUCUCAGUUCGGAUUGUUCUCUGCAACUCGAGAGCAUGAAGGCGGAAUCGCUAGUAAUCGCGGAUCAGCAUGCCGCGGU